This 2076-nucleotide long non-coding RNA is filed under the name Gadus morhua (Atlantic cod). Its description in RNAcentral is "lncRNA (ENSGMOG00000025726.1)". Lineage: Eukaryota; Metazoa; Chordata; Actinopteri; Gadiformes; Gadidae. The record is from RNAcentral.
AUGCAAACAAUUCUGCAUGUUUCAAAUUCUGCAGUACAGGAAGUAAUUGAUGAGUUAUUUGACAUUGGAGACUUUGCCUAUAAAAAUAUUAAAACAAUUAUAGAGAAAGUUUUGGAGGAAAAUAACUGUGCAGCUGAUGCCUCUGUUGUAACAUCAUUGUCUGAUGAAAUACAAUCGUUGAACCCACUCAAAUUUCUUUCAAGAGCAGGGCCUUUGGGCACAGAACGUAAAAGGCAGUCAUUUUACAGAAAGAUUUUUACAGUGAUUGAACCGGUUGAAUAUGUGCUAAAUCCACAAGAAAAAAAUCAUUCAUUUGUUUAUGUUCCUAUUUUAGAUUUGUUAAGUAAGUUGUUGGAAAGAAGUGAGAUUCUAGAGACAUUACAGAGAUCCAAUGGACAGGAAGGUCAUUACUGCUCAUUUCAAGAUGGUGAAUACUUUAAAGAAAACAAACUUUUUGCUGAAGAAUUAGGCAUAGCUCUUGGCUUAUACAUUGAUGAUUUUGAAAUCUGUAAUCCAUUGGGAACUUCAAGAAAGAAACAUAAAUUGUGUGGUAUAUAUUGGGUGAUAGCUAACUUACCCAUAAGACUUAGAUCAACAUUAUCAUCAAUUUAUCUAGCUGCAUUGUGCAAAACUGUACAUAUAAAACAAUAUGGUUACAGCAAAGUUUUGGAGCCUCUGAUUAGAGACCUUCAGCAUUUAGAGACGACUGGUGUAUUUGUGAAAAGACUUGGGUCUUGUGUCAAAGGUACUGUUUUGUAUGUGUCUGCCGAUAACUUAGGUGCACACUCCCUUGCUGGAUACCAAGAGUCUUUCAACGUGGAGAAAUUUUGCAGAUUUUGUUUGGCUAACCUUAAAGAUAUUCAGCAUCAUGAUGUCAGAAGUGGGGCAUUUACUUUGAGAACACCAGAACUGUUUGAUGAAGCCAUUAAUGUGCUUAACACAACUAAUGCCUCGUGUGUUCAUGGUUUGAAGAGAAACUGUCCUUUAAGCAGACUUGCCCACUUUCAUCCUGCAAAAGGUUUUCCACCUGAUUUUCUGCACGAUUUAUUGGAGGGAAUUGUACCUGUGGAACUAUGCAUAUGUCUUUCAGAUCUUAUUGCUAAAAAGUAUUUCAAAUUGAAUGAUCUUAAUGAUAGAAUAGCAUCAUUUCCUUUUCAGUUUUCUGACAAAACUAACAGGCCUCAGACAAUACCAACAAACUUUUCAAAAAAAAGAACAAUUGGUGGCAACGGACACGAGAACUGGGCACUUCUGAGAUUUCUUCCACUGUUGAUUGGCCAUCAUAUUCCAGAGAGUGAAAAGACUUGGUCUGUGAUCCUUGAACUGAAAGACAUUGUGGAGGUGUUAUCAAGCCCCUCAUUCACAACAGAAACCCUGUGCUACCUACAAGCCAAAAUUUCUGACCACAGACAGUUGCUCUUAGAAUUAUUUCCUGUUACUAAAUUACGCCCUAAACAUCAUUAUCUUGAACAUUAUCCUGUUCUGAUUCAGAAAUUUGGACCAUUAAUUGAGUUCUGGACAAUACGAUUUGAGGCAAAACAUUCUUUUUUUAAAAGAAUGGUUCACAAUACUGGCAAUUUCAAAAAUAUUCUGCACACGUUGGCCACAAGACAUCAACUGAUGUUGUCAUAUUACUUGGAGAUGCCAACUAUUUUCAAGCCAAGCAUUGAGACUGGACGAGUAUCAGUUGUGUCUGUGGGCAUCCUAGAUGCUGCAAUCAGAGAGGCUGUAUGGAAUAAGUUUGAAGGUCUGGACUCUGUUUCACUCACCUCCAUUGCUUACUUGAAUGGGACAAAAUAUUCUAAAGGCAUGGUACUCUCAGUUGGACAUACGUGUGGACUGCCAGAUUUUGGGAGAGUAUUGGAGAUCUGUGUAGUGGAUGGUUGCAUAUCAUUCAUUACUGAACUAUUCACAGCGACCUUCCAAGAGCAUCUCAGGUGUUACCAGCUCGCCAGAAGAGAUCCUGCAACAAUUGUGGUCAUUGAUCCGGACCGUCUGAAUGACUACAUUCCCCUUGCUGCAUACCCUGUUGAGGAAAAGCUGCUCGUCACUCCAAGGACAUUCAUGUUACAUUAA